CGCUGGCGGCAUGCCUAACACAUGCAAGUCGAACGGCAGCACAGUGGUAGCAAUACCAUGGGUGGCGAGUGGCGGACGGGUGAGUAAUGCAUCGGGACCUACCCAGACGUGGGGGAUAACGUAGGGAAACUUACGCUAAUACCGCAUACGUCCUACGGGAGAAAGCGGGGGAUCUUCGGACCUCGCGCGGUUGGACGGACCGAUGUUCGAUUAGCUAGUUGGUAGGGUAAUGGCCUACCAAGGCGACGAUCGAUAGCUGGUCUGAGAGGAUGAUCAGCCACACUGAAACUGAGACACGGUCCAGACUCCUACGGGAGGCAGCAGUGGGGAAUAUUGGACAAUGGGCGCAAGCCUGAUCCAGCAAUGCCGCGUGUGUGAAGAAGGCCUUCGGGUUGUAAAGCACUUUUAUCGGGAGCGAAAUACCAUUGGCUAAUAACCGAUGGGGCUGACGGUACCCGAGGAAUAAGCACCGGCUAACUUCGUGCCAGCAGCCGCGGUAAUACGAAGGGUGCAAGCGUUAAUCGGAAUUACUGGGCGUAAAGGGUGCGUAGGCGGUUUGUUAAGUCUGUCGUGAAAUCCCCGGGCUCAACCUGGGAAUGGCGAUGGAUACUGGCAAGCUAGAGUGUGUCAGAGGAUGGUGGAAUUUCCGGUGUAGCGGUGAAAUGCGUAGAGAUCGGAAGGAACAUCAGUGGCGAAGGCGGCCAUCUGGGACAACACUGACGCUGAAGCACGAAAGCGUGGGGAGCAAACAGGAUUAGAUACCCUGGUAGUCCACGCCCUAAACGAUGCGAACUGGAUGUUGGUCUCAACUCGGAGAUCAGUGUCGAAGUAUC
This 833-nucleotide ribosomal RNA is filed under the name uncultured bacterium. RNAcentral's name for it is "bacterial SSU rRNA". It matches the Rfam family "Bacterial small subunit ribosomal RNA", at positions 34 to 855 of the family's 1533-position model. The record is from RNAcentral.